UAGCUCAGUUGGUUAGAGAGUGGUGCUAAUAACACCAGGGUCGCGGGUUUGAUCCCCGU
This 59-nucleotide transfer RNA is filed under the name Apaloderma vittatum (bar-tailed trogon). It matches the Rfam family "tRNA", at positions 8 to 63 of the family's 71-position model. From Rfam's summary of the family: Transfer RNA (tRNA) molecules are approximately 80 nucleotides in length. The record is from Rfam by way of RNAcentral. Lineage: Eukaryota; Metazoa; Chordata; Aves; Trogoniformes; Trogonidae.